UUAAAUUGAAGAGUUUGAUCAUGGCUCAGAUUGAACGCUGGCGGCAGGCCUAACACAUGCAAGUCGAACGGUAACAGAAAGCAGCUUGCUGCUUUGCUGACGAGUGGCGGACGGGUGAGUAAUGUCUGGGAAACUGC
RNAcentral lists this ribosomal RNA (137 nucleotides) under Escherichia coli. Its description in RNAcentral is "partial 16S ribosomal RNA". It matches the Rfam family "Bacterial small subunit ribosomal RNA", at positions 1 to 129 of the family's 1533-position model. Lineage: Bacteria; Pseudomonadati; Pseudomonadota; Gammaproteobacteria; Enterobacterales; Enterobacteriaceae. The record is from RNAcentral.